UCAAGCGAUUAAGUGCAUACGGUGGAUGCCUUGGCAGUCAGAGGCGAUGAAGGACGUUGUAACAUGCGAUAAGCCUCGGGGAGUUUGUAAACUAACUUUGAUCCGAGGAUUUCCGAAUGGGGAAACCCACCAAUUUAUUGGUAUCUUUAACUGAAUACAUAGGUUAAAGAGGCGAACGCGGUGAACUGAAACAUCUAAGUAACCGUAGGAAAAGAAAUCAACCGAGAUUCCCUUAGUAGCGGCGAGCGAACGGGGACCAGCCCUAAAGUGCUAGGUGUGAUAGAUGAAUGGUCUGGAAAGUCCAGCGACACAAGGUGAUAGCCCUGUAAUCGAAAUCUAUCCUAGUAUUAUUCGAGUAGGACGGAACACGUGUAAUUCUGUUUGAACAUGGGGGGACCAUCCUCCAAGGCUAAAUACUACUGACUGACCGAUAGUGAACCAGUACCGUGAGGGAAAGGCGAAAAGAACCCCUGUGAGGGGAGUGAAAUAGAACCUGAAACCGUAUGCAUACAAGCUGUGGGAGCUCCUUUGGGAGUGACUGCGUACCUUUUGUAUAAUGGGUCAGCGACUUAAUUCUCAGUGGCAAGCUUAACCGUAUAGGGGAGGCGUAGGGAAACCGAGUCUUAAUAGGGCGACAGUCGCUGGGAUUAGACCCGAAACCGGACGAUCUAUCCAUGGCCAGGUUGAAGGUGGGGUAAUACCUACUGGAGGACCGAACCAACUUAUGUUGAAAAAUGAGUGGAUGAGCUGUGGAUAGGAGUGAAAGGCUAAACAAGUCCGGAGAUAGCUGGUUCUCCCCGAAAUCUAUUUAGGUAGAGCGUCAUGUCUCACUGUUGGGGGUAGAGCACUGUUAUGGCUAGGGGCCCAUACCGGGUUACCAAACCAUUGCAAACUCCGAAUACCAACAAGUGCAAUCAUGGCAGACAGACUGCGGGUGAUAACGUCCGUAGUCGAGAGGGAAACAACCCAGACCGCCAGCUAAGGUCCCUAAAUAUAGCUCAGUGGGAAACGAUGUGAGAAGGCAUAGACAGCCAGGAGGUUGGCUUAGAAGCAGCCACCCUUUAAAGAAAGCGUAAUAGCUCACUGGUCGAGUCGGCUCGCGCGGAAGAUGUACCGGGGCUCAAGCUAUAUACCGAAGCUGCGGAUGCGAUUUAUCGCAUGGUAGGGGAGCGUUCUGUAAGCCUGCGAAGGUGUGGUGGAAACCAUGCUGGAGGUAUCAGAAGUGAGAAUGCUGACAUGAGUAACGAUAAUGCGGGUGAAAAACCCGCACACCGAAAACCCAAGGUUUCCUACGCAACGCUAAUCGGCGUAGGGUUAGUCGGCCACUAAGGCGAGGGCGAAAGCCGUAGUCGAUGUGAAACAGGUUAAUAUUCCUGUACCGAUAAUUACUGCGAUGGAAUGACGGAGAAGGCUAAUCUGGAAGGGUGUUGGUUUACCCUAUCUAAGCAUGUAGGCUGGAAUCUUAGGCAAAUCCGGGAUUCUAAGGCUGAGAUGUGAUGGCGAGGUUCAAUUGCGAACCGAGCAGAUGAUGCCAGGCUUCCAAGAAAAGUUUCUAAGCUUCAGGUAAUUAUUGACCGUACUCUAAACGGACACACGUGGGUGAGGCGAGAAGCCUAAGGUGCUUGAGAGAACCCAGGUGAAGGAACUCGGCAAAAUGACACCGUAACUUCGGGAGAAGGUGUGCCUACUCCGGUGAAAGCCCUUGCGGCUCGAGCUAGAGAGGUUGCAAUAAAUAGGUGGCUGCGACUGUUUAUUAAAAACAUAGCACUGUGCAAACACGAAAGUGGACGUAUACGGUGUGACGCCUGCCCGGUGCCGGAAGGUUAAUUGAUGGGGUUAGACUUAGGUCGAAGCUCUUGAUCGAAGCCCCGGUGAACGGCGGCCGUAACUAUAACGGUCCUAAGGUAGCGAAAUUCCUUGUCGGGUAAGUUCCGACCUGCACGAAUGGCGUAACGAUGGCCACACUGUCUCCACCUGGGACUCAGUGAAAUUGAAUUUGCUGUGAAGAUGCAGUAUACCCGCGGUUAGACGGAAAGACCCCGUGCACCUUUACUACAGCUUUGCAUUGGACUUUGAACCUAUUUGUGUAGGAUAGGUGGGAGGCUUUGAAGCGUGAACGCCAGUUUGCGUGGAGCCAACCUUGAAAUACCACCCUGGUAUGUUUGGAGUCCUAACCCAGGUCCAUUAUCUGGAUCGGGGACAAUGUAUGGUGGGUAGUUUGACUGGGGCGGUCUCCUCCCAAAGAGUAACGGAGGAGCGCGAAGGUACUCUAAAUACGGUCGGAAAUCGUAUGGUUAGUGUAAAGGCAAAAGAGUGCUUGACUGCGAGACGGACAUGUCGAGCAGGUACGAAAGUAGGUCUUAGUGAUCCGGUGGUUCUGUAUGGAAGGGCCAUCGCUCAACGGAUAAAAGGUACGCCGGGGAUAACAGGCUGAUACCCCCCAAGAGUUCACAUCGACGGGGGUGUUUGGCACCUCGAUGUCGGCUCAUCUCAUCCUGGGGCUGUAGCCGGUCCCAAGGGUAUGGCUGUUCGCCAUUUAAAGAGGUACGCGAGCUGGGUUUAGAACGUCGUGAGACAGUUUGGUCCCUAUCUGCCGUGGGCGCCUGAGACUUGAGGGAAGCUGCUCCUAGUACGAGAGGACCGGAGUGGACGUACCCCUGGUGUUCCAAUUGUCUCGCCAGAGGCAUUGUUGGGUAGCUAUGUACGGACGGGAUAACCGCUGAAAGCAUCUAAGCGGGAAGCCCCUCCCAAGAUAAGGUCUCACUGAAUACUUGAUAUUCCUGAAGGGUCGUCGAAGACUACGACGUUGAUAGGCAAGGUGUGGAAGCGUUGAAAGGCGUUAAGCUAACUUGUACUAAUUGCCCGUGAGGCUUGACCA
Molecule: ribosomal RNA, 2878 nt
Filed under: Arenicella chitinivorans
Lineage: Bacteria; Pseudomonadati; Pseudomonadota; Gammaproteobacteria; Arenicellales; Arenicellaceae
Description: 23S ribosomal RNA
Rfam family: Bacterial large subunit ribosomal RNA
Source: RNAcentral